GUUUUUGUAGUUGAAUAACAACAGUGGUUUUUCAGGCCACAGGUUUUGGUUGAAGCCAGACGGAAAUU
Molecule: transfer RNA, 68 nt
Filed under: Teratoscincus przewalskii (Przewalski's wonder gecko)
Lineage: Eukaryota; Metazoa; Chordata; Lepidosauria; Squamata; Sphaerodactylidae
Also listed under: 1 other name
Description: tRNA-Glu
Source: RNAcentral